GCUUCUUUUUGGUCUAAAAGUAUGUGUUUUUAGUAAUAGCAACUCUAGAACUUCAGAGGCAGUGUAAGUGUUGGUUCUAAUUGGUAACGUUACAUAUCUGAGGAUCACAGGGCUGCGGAAGUUAAGACAUCUAAUCGAGUGCUCGCAGAACAGCUCCUUUGAAACAGAACAUGCUUUCCUCUAGUUGUGGAUUAAGUGCAACCCUUUCACAGACUUAACAAUAAUAAUCCCUUGGCCUUCUUUUUCUGUUUUCUUAAAUAUAUGGUUUUAGUUGUAUCGGUUAGUUUCUAUUUAAUUUGGUAGAAUUUUUUAUUUCUAAAAUGUUUAGUCACCACAUUAAAAGGGGGCACAAUCUUCUAUUUGGUAUAAAAGCCUCUGUGCUACGGUUUGCCCAGGAUUUUCCUGAUUUUGACACUGAAAGUUCUGUGUCCCAGGAACCCCUUUAGUCACGAGCAAUGUGGGGCAGUUGGUUACCCUCAACUGUGGUAUAUUUUGGUGAAAUAUACUUUAGCUUUAAUGAGAAAAAGACAAUUAUCAUUUAAACACCAUCCUCUUUAGGUACAAAUAAUUCCCUGUGUGAGAUGUUGAAGGAGAGCAGCUGCCUCCCAUUGCUGGGCAGGGCCAGGCACACUCAGCUGCUUGGAACACAUGGCAGGAACGAAUUUCUGCUCAAGGCUUGGAUCAGGCAAUUGAUGCUUUCUGGAAGGGAAAUAAUGGCUGAGGAAACGUCGAUGUCAAUAUUUCUUCAUGGAGAAAAACACAUUUUGAUCUUUCUUCAUGGAGAAAAACACAUUUUGAUCUUUUCCUCAAACAAGUCAAUAAGGUAUCAGGUUCUAUUUGAAUCUUUUCCCUGGAAAACAUCUUACAAUUAUGAGAGUCUAAUAACUUUUUCUUGUAACAUUAAAUUGAGGCAAUUCCAAUGCUUCAAACAGUAUUUAUUUAAAAGGAGAUGGACAACCUCCUAAAAGUUGUUAGAUUUUCAUGAAAUGGAGAGACUGAGUGCAUCAAUGAGUUGGUAAUUAAUCACUUUUAAUUUCCCCUCUUAAGUCUCCUCCUCCAUACUGUCCCUCAGCCCAGGUAGCUCUCCAGGUAACAGGGUUUCACAAGCCCUGUGCACAUUCUCUAUCUCCAAGCAUUAAGGGGCCUUUUUAAUUCAUUCAACCAACAUUUUUUGAGAACCUCCUAUGUUCUAGGCAUUGUGCUAGUAACUGGGGUUACAGAAAUAACAACCUGCCCCACUCUUAACUCGGUGUUGCUUUAUAACUUCAUGGGAAAGAGGGACCCACACGUAAGUGAUUCCAUGUCAUGAAGUAUACUCUGAGUUUGUAAAACUUGCUUUGGGAACUUAGAGGAAGCCAUGCUUAGAACUGCCUCAGCUGACUCUUCCUUUCCGUGAAAACAAGCAUCCUUACCUUUCUGUACUGCUGUGAAGUUAUUUCAAACAUACAUACUUAUAUGUGUUUCCAGAUGAACAACUUUGGUUAUUUAGGGCAAAGAAUAUGAUUGGCCUGUCUUGGGCAGUUCUGGAGCUCUUGGUUUAUGAAGUAUCGCUUCCAAAGGGGCCAUAUGUAGGGAGUGAUGCAGGUGCCGUAUGCCAAGUGAAAGGGCCAUAUGACUGUGCUCCUGCUUCUCAGCCGCAGCUGAUUUGGUGAAUUUCCACCUUUCACUGUGCCCACCCCUUCCCUUCUCCCUUUAUAUGGGGUGCUCACAAGUACCAUUUCUGAGAACAGCCUUUGAAUUUAGAAAGGCUACAAAUCUAUAAAAGUGGCAUAAUUCUGUGAAUACAGGUUUGGGAACGUUUUAGUCGUGAAGGGAAACCUUUUCCUCUUGAGGAAAACUCAGCCUUGAGAGAUAGAUGGUUGGCAAUGAGCUAAAUCAGCAAAUCAAAUUUGACAUGUAUUGAAGAAAAUCAAAUUGUAGAGCGUGAAAGGCCUUUGAAGAUCAUCAGAUGCUAGUCUAAGCCACUUAGCAACGGACGCAUUCAGUGAUCUUUCGCGGCCACACGAAUCGGCAGAAUCAGAAAAUAUUCGCUGUCCAGAUUCCCUCCUCACUACAAAGGCCCCUCCUCUGGGGCUCCCCCUACCUUUCCACUGUCUAGCAACUAAAGGGUGAACACCAGGCACAGCUUGGGAGCCUUCAGGCUUUAAACCCCACUCCUGCUCCAAGCUGCUUUGUGUUUGCUCAGUAUCCAUGGUAUCGUGAUAUUUUGAGCAUCUCCCCCGGAAGGCUGAGUACAAUUCCAGCAGGAGGUGAGGACAGCAACCACUGCUUCUGGUGGGAGGAGGGAUGUGAGCAGCCACACAAAGGCUGGAGUCGGAGGAUGUUCUGGAAAGCAGGAGGCGGUGGUCAUGGUCACGGCAGGAGCAGGAGAAUUUGAAGGUCGUUUGAGGCCAAGUAAGGAUGCCUUGCUUCCCACAUCUCUCUGAGCAUCAUGAGAUGAACAGGAGCAGGACUGUAGGGGAAGAAGUGGAAGUAGGAGAUCCCCAGGAGCCGUUUCCAAGUCCACAACACUCAGUGCUCGGGAGGCUGGAGAGAAUGCUGGGGAGAGUGGCGCCAGAAGCCAUCGUCAAUGAUGGCAUUGAACUGAACACCUGGCGCCCGCUCUACAUACAUCAGACCCCGGGCAAGGCCCUGCGGGUGCACAAAGAGCAAGGCAUGGUUUCUGCCCCCAAGGAACCUGCACCUCCAUAGGGAGCACAGAGCUGCACGCCCAGGUGUUCAGGGCAGAAGAAAGAAAGUGGUCCAGGGUACUCGCAGCCAAGGCACCCUCAAGUGUCCCAGCAGCAGCAAAUGAAACUCCAGUCAGACAGUUGAAGCACCUUCAGUGAGGAAUCACUUCAUGAAUCGCAUGGCAGGGUGAAGAGAACCCAGAGGAGCCCUGGGCUUGGAGACCAGACAGUGGGAAGCCGUGACCAUCGUAGGCCUGAAGGGGCGGAGGAAGAACAGCCUCGUUGGAGCCCAGUGGCCGCUGGAGCCACGGCAGGGGGGCCACCUGCGGAGUAGGUGGGGAUCUCUAGGGGCUGAGUUGAGUCCCUCUUCCCCAAAUUCCUAUGAAGCACCUCAGAAUGUGAGUGCAUUUGGAGAUCGGGCCUUUCAAAAGGUAAGUCAGGUCAAAUGAGGCCAUCAGGGUGGCCUGGAUCCAAUCCGACUAAUGUCCUUACAAGAAGAAGAGGUGGGGACACAGAGACACAGAGGGAAGCCCAUGUGAGAACACAGGGAGAAUGAGCCAAGGAGAGAGGCCUCAGAGGAAACACACUCUGCCUACACCUGCCUCUUGAACUUCCAGCCUCCGGCCUCACAGACAGCCUCACUGAGAGCCACUUCCAGUCCUGUUGUCAGCAGUGGAAGGUAAUGCUGGGCGUAAAGGCCAGAUGAAGGCAAGGACUCUUAAAUUUGACUGGAAGAGUGAAUUAUACAUGUCAUGCAGUAGGCCUCUUUCUAAUCUAUCAUUUCAAAUUUGUCAGCUUAAAUAGGCAACGGAUAUUGAGGAAGUGAACUAUGCGAUGUCCUGAAUUGUAGAGAUAAUUUUUAAAAGUCAAUGUAUGCUAAAUAAGUAACCUCAAAGAUGGUUUUAUGAGAUCUUAAUUUGAAAUAAUUUAUUUUAUCAUGCACCUCAUUUCCAGUAGUUUGGUAGUUCUGACAACCCCAGCUGUGCUCAGCAGAUAGCCUUAGGAAUGAAACGGUAUGAAAGAGAGACAGCCUCAUCGAGAGAUGGCUCUCAGUCCUCCUGAAAGUUCUUUGCAAUAACAUCCAUGCAGUUAUACUGUUGGUCAAAUAAUGUCCCUAACAUAUAUUUAGAGAAUAAUAAAGAUAAGGCACUGUCUUUAUUAUUUAUUACAACAGAGGAACCUAUGUGCUUUGCAAGACCAAUUAAAGAAGAUUCUAAUGCAUACAUUUAAAGCUCUGUUUUAUUAUGUCCUUACUGAGAUUUCUACUCAUAAAGAAAGACAGAUGAGGAGUUGAAAAUAUACAGAAUGGCAGGAGUACUGCCCCCACUCUAACAAGUAAAAACUAGAUAUACCAUAGAAUUGUAACUUUUCCUGAGCGCAUCAAAUACCUGAGGUCAUAGGGUAACCAAAUAGUUCCAAAUCCAAAAAAAA
This 4100-nucleotide long non-coding RNA is filed under the name Homo sapiens (human). Its description in RNAcentral is "HSALNT0331559". The record is from RNAcentral. Lineage: Eukaryota; Metazoa; Chordata; Mammalia; Primates; Hominidae.